GGAGAGGUCGCAUAGCCCGGUCGAGUGCGCACGAUUGGAAAUCGUGUACGGAGCAAUCCGUCGCGGGUUCAAAUCCCGCCCUCUCCGCCA
RNAcentral lists this transfer RNA (90 nucleotides) under Chloroflexota bacterium. Its description in RNAcentral is "Chloroflexi bacterium (anaerobic digester metagenome) tRNA-Ser". It matches the Rfam family "tRNA". From Rfam's summary of the family: Transfer RNA (tRNA) molecules are approximately 80 nucleotides in length. Their secondary structure includes four short double-helical elements and three loops (D, anti-codon, and T loops). Further hydrogen bonds mediate the characteristic L-shaped molecular structure. tRNAs have two regions of fundamental functional importance: the anti-codon, which is responsible for specific mRNA codon recognition, and the 3' end, to which the tRNAs corresponding amino acid is attached (by aminoacyl-tRNA synthetases). tRNAs cope with the degeneracy of the genetic code in two manners: having more than one tRNA (with a specific anti-codon) for a particular amino acid; and 'wobble' base-pairing, i.e. permitting non-standard base-pairing at the 3rd anti-codon position. Lineage: Bacteria; Bacillati; Chloroflexota. The record is from RNAcentral.